This 292-nucleotide unclassified non-coding RNA is filed under the name Lasiodiplodia sp. RNAcentral's name for it is "partial contains 5.8S ribosomal RNA, internal transcribed spacer 2, and large subunit ribosomal RNA". The stretch from base 1 to 71 matches the Rfam family "5.8S ribosomal RNA", at positions 84 to 154 of the family's 154-position model. The record is from RNAcentral. Lineage: Eukaryota; Fungi; Ascomycota; Dothideomycetes; Botryosphaeriales; Botryosphaeriaceae.
GUGAGUCAUCGAAUCUUUGAACGCACAUUGCGCCCCUUGGUAUUCCGGGGGGCAUGCCUGUUCGAGCGUCAUUACAACCCUCAAGCUCUGCUUGGAAUUGGGCACCGUCCUCACUGCGGACGCGCCUCAAAGACCUCGGCGGUGGCUGUUCAGCCCUCAAGCGUAGUAGAAUACACCUCGCUUUGGAGCGGUUGGCGUCGCCCGCCGGACGAACCUUCUGAACUUUUCUCAAGGUUGACCUCGGAUCAGGUAGGGAUACCCGCUGAACUUAAGCAUAUCAAUAAGCGGAGGA